AAGACUCUGCGCGCAGCCUGAUGCAGCCAUGCCGCGUGUAUGAAGAAGGCCUUCGGGUUGUAAAGUACUUUCAGCGGGGAGGAAGGGAGUAAAGUUAAUACCUUUGCUCAUUGACGUUACCCGCAGAAGAAGCACCGGCUAACUCCGUGCCAGCAGCCGCGGUAAUA
RNAcentral lists this ribosomal RNA (167 nucleotides) under uncultured Pseudomonadota bacterium. RNAcentral describes it as "uncultured proteobacterium partial 16S ribosomal RNA". It matches the Rfam family "Bacterial small subunit ribosomal RNA", at positions 365 to 525 of the family's 1533-position model. The record is from RNAcentral. Lineage: Bacteria; Pseudomonadati; Pseudomonadota.